RNAcentral lists this ribosomal RNA (547 nucleotides) under Gemmuloborsonia colorata. RNAcentral's name for it is "partial 12S ribosomal RNA". The record is from RNAcentral. Lineage: Eukaryota; Metazoa; Mollusca; Gastropoda; Neogastropoda; Turridae.
CACCAAAGAAUUAAGUCAUAUUUUUACGGUAAAAAGACAGUUAGACUUUAGUGAUUUUGGUUGUUUAAAUAUUUAUAGAAAGGUAAAAUUUGCAUAUAAAUAUAAAAUCUAAUGACAACUUAUAAGUUGAAUCUGUGAAAGCCUUGAGGGAAACUGGGAUUAGAUACCCCAUUAUUCUUGGCUAUAAAUCAAACUAAAAAUUUACCAGGGUACUAUGAACGUAAUAAAUUUAAAACUCAAAGAGCUUGGCGGUAUUUUAGACCACUUAGGGGAACCUGUCUCAUAAUCGAUAAUCCACGUUAUACCUGACCUUUUUUUGUUUUCAGCCUGUAUACCGUUGUCGUCAGGUAACUUCUUAGAAACUAACAGUUAGCUACUAAUGCUAUAAAUUAAAACGUCAAAUCGAGGUGCAGCCCAUAAAAGGGGGAGGAUGGGUUACAAUUAUUUAAUUAUAAUUACGGAAGAUUACAAUAAGAAAUAAUCAUAAAGGAGGACUUAAAAGUAAAUUAAAUUAUAAAAAUAAUUUGAAUAAGGCUCUGAAAUGUGU